Molecule: ribosomal RNA, 459 nt
Filed under: uncultured bacterium
Lineage: Bacteria
Description: partial 16S ribosomal RNA
Rfam family: Bacterial small subunit ribosomal RNA
Source: RNAcentral
CCUACUGAGUGCAGCAGUGAGGAAUAUUGGUCAAUGGCCGAGAGGCUGAACCAGCCAAGUCGCGUGAGGGAAGACGGCCCUACGGGUUGUAAACCUCUUUUGUCGGGGAGCAAAGCGAACCACGUGUGGUUCAUUGAGAGUACCCGACGAAAAAGCAUCGGCUAACUCCGUGCCAGCAGCCGCGGUAAUACGGAGGAUGCGAGCGUUAUCCGGAUUUAUUGGGUUUAAAGGGUGCGCAGGCGGAGGUGCAAGUCAGCGGUCAAAUUGCGGGGCUCAACCCCGUACUGCCGUUGAAACUGCAUCCCUUGAGUGCGCGAGAAGUAUGCGGAAUGCGUGGGGUAGCGGUGAAAUGCAUAGAUAUCACGCAGAACUCCGAUUGCGAAGGCAGCAUACCGGCGCGCAACUGACGCUCAUGCACGAAAGCGUGGGUAUCGAACAGGAUUAGAUACCCCAGUAGUC